Suricata suricatta (meerkat) is the source of this 1129-nucleotide long non-coding RNA. RefSeq lists it as uncharacterized. The record is from RefSeq and is a predicted model, not a curated record. Lineage: Eukaryota; Metazoa; Chordata; Mammalia; Carnivora; Herpestidae. The transcript is spliced from 6 exons.
CUUCUGGGUGCUGUACCUGUGGCUGUGAUGCCCCGGCUUGGUGCCCCCUUUGGGGCGUCCGUGAAGCGGGGGCAUCCCCUACAGGCUGGGUCCUAGGGCAGCAGACACAGGGGACACGGGAAGGCCGUCCACAGCUUCCCUCCUGCGCGCCGCAGAGAGUCCCCACGUCCUGGUAGGACCCUCACUGGUCGAGCCCACAGAACAAAAAGUGGGUCCGCUGCCACUUUGCUGCAGGGCCUGUGACAGCGUCCUCCUGCACCCUGGUCCUCCUGCGCCCUGGUCCUCCUGCGUCCUGGUCCGGCGGCUCUGCUUCCAGAGCUCUGACAACACCAAAGGCCUCAUUCAACCGCCGACAGGGCAGGAAGGGGAGAGGCCUUCGCGCACCCCAGCAGGCCGGAGCUUUGAGGAGGCGGGUCAGUGCCAGCUGUGUCUCAGGGAUCUCUGAUGUGCUGGGUGACGUCCGUGCAUCCGGGACCCCUGUUCUAGUUCUGUGUCCCUGGAACGCAGCCCGCUCAUCGCUGCGCACUGACAGUCCCCGAGGUCCGCAUGCUGAGGGAGCUCCCGGGAACCAGACAUGUCCGGAGGGGGCUCCACGUCGCAUUUCAAGCUGCAGGGCCCGUUAGGCUCCCGUGGGAACACGGAGGCUGGUGCAGGCUCAGAGCCGCGCUGCAGGCUCCGGGUCGUGCGGAGAUUAGACGCGACUGGAAACUGCAGUUUCCGUGUGGCCGCUGGCAGAUACCUGACUCCCCCGCCGGCAGUGACCUGGGUGCCGGGCUGCCCGCCCCUCCCCGUGACAGGAGGCCUUCUGUCCACGUUUGGGGGAGCAGCAGGAGGUCAGUGCUGCCUCACGCCUGAGCUACUGCCUGUGAGCGCCCGUCGUCGGCAGAAACGUGCCGUCUGCUCCAGCCCGAUGCCCCCUUCAUUCCCUUGAAGUCGCUUCGGAGCGUGGUGGCUGUAAGGGGCAUGCGGGGCAGCUCCGGCCUGCGAUAAUGCCCCAAAACAAACAUCUCCGGAGCCCAGGGGCUUCCAGCAGCAGCCUUUCUUCUUGGCUCACAAUGCUCUGGUCACAGCCGCGGCUCCGCUUUAGGCUGCAGGUAACUGAGGCCCCGCUGCGCCCAGCCUGGGUGAC